This is a long non-coding RNA of Perognathus longimembris pacificus (Pacific pocket mouse), 164 nucleotides long. RefSeq lists it as uncharacterized. The record is from RefSeq and is a predicted model, not a curated record. Lineage: Eukaryota; Metazoa; Chordata; Mammalia; Rodentia; Heteromyidae. The transcript has 4 exons.
CAGUUGCUCUCUUUGCCUGGAGUGAAGCAGCCCCCAAGCAGCAGGCCAAAGGAAAGUCAAGUCACACCACCUGGAAACCAGUUUUGCAAUCACAAAGCUGAGCCAAGGAGACCUGGGACCUGGUAUGGCUUGCUCCAGGCAGACCCUACCUAGUGUAUUUCCAG